Long non-coding RNA from Chrysemys picta bellii (western painted turtle), 778 nucleotides. RefSeq lists it as uncharacterized. The record is from RefSeq and is a predicted model, not a curated record. Lineage: Eukaryota; Metazoa; Chordata; Testudines; Emydidae.
GAGAAGCCUGUAGAAUCCCUGCCCAGAGCCACCCUGGAAACAAGAAGAGAGAUUUUUAAAAAAGAGAGCGUGUGCAGCGCGAGCUCCCAGCCAGGUCCCGCUGCCAGUGGUUGGGGCUGACCCUUGGGUUGAUCAGUAAUGCAUUCGUACAGGACACAUGCAUCCAGCCUGCACGGAAGGGACAGAUUCCCUUGUCCAAAGUCUCAUUACGCACGUUCCUGCUGACGCUGUUGCUGCCCCUUGAAAUAGGCUCCCCUCCUGUUCCUGCGGCGAGACCCUGUGUCCCUCUUUGCAGCCGAGCCGAGCUUCACCUGUACGCCUUCCAUCCAUUAAUGGAGCUCCGUGCCUGGUGUUCUGCAGCAGGAAGGCAGUGAAAGUCCCACCUCUUGUGCGCUCCACCUGUAUACAUGUCCCCGCUCCAGACUUUCUUCUUCGCAUCCGAACGCCCUGGCCCGUGUGCCGGUGGAACCCGGCCAGCUCAGAGUGACGGCGCUCUGCCGUCAGGCUGGGCAACGGGAUGGGCAGAGCACUGGGACGGGGCCGAGUCUGUGUGAUGAACAGCGCGACGAGUCAGGAGCUCCCCACCCAGGCCCUGUGAGACGGUGGAGGGCUCUGUAAGGAAGCAUGUGACCUGGGCCAGACACCCCAGCGUAAGGAGGGGUGAGUUAUGCCUCUGCCUGCCUUAGGGAGCAGCCUGCUUCAUCUCUCUCUGUUUUUGAAUUCUUGUGUGUUAUCAUUUUGGAUUCUAUGAAAUAUAGUUAUGUUAUGGUGCAACCUU